UGGGGUUAGAUUUAGUACGUAAGCGCUAUGGAUGGCGAAUAGUGCAUGCUACUGGCACGGGGUAGUAGUAUCUAUGAAGAUUCCCACCUCCA
Molecule: non-coding RNA, 92 nt
Organism: Glossina brevipalpis
Lineage: Eukaryota; Metazoa; Arthropoda; Insecta; Diptera; Glossinidae
Source: Rfam